CCUCAAACUCAUCGGCAACAAGACCAAAGACAUCAUUCGAUUCCUGCAGCAGCGGCUGAAGAAGGCAGUUCCCUACUACAGGAUGAAGCUUAUAGUGGUUGGGAAUGCCGGAAGCGGGAAGACCACUUUGAUCCAGCAGCUGAUGAAGCGCAAGCGCUCCAAGUUGAACUCAAAGCGGACCAAUGUUGGAAUUGAUGUACUGGACUGGACCAUCCGAGAA
Long non-coding RNA from Thalassophryne amazonica, 220 nucleotides. RefSeq lists it as uncharacterized. The record is from RefSeq and is a predicted model, not a curated record. The transcript has 2 exons. Lineage: Eukaryota; Metazoa; Chordata; Actinopteri; Batrachoidiformes; Batrachoididae.